GCAUCAGUUAUUAAUUGAAGCUACAGUGGGUCAAACAAAGGUUGAAUACCUUGGACAUGUGCUAACAAAGGGGACUGUAUGCAUGUCUGAAGAUUGAAUCAAGACAAUUCAACACUGAACAAUGAAGAUGCAAUCCAAUGGACUACGGAAAUGGACCCAGCGCUGGGUCUUCCAGUCCAUCUGUACGUGCACGAGGCUGGGGGGACUGCUGCUGCAAUCCAGGAACAUGGGGGCUCUUACCGCCCGGUGGCGUAUUUAUCUAAAACACUAGAUUAGGUUGCAAAGGGCAUCCUGGUUGUCUGUGAGCAGUGGCUGCAACAGCGAUGAUGGUACAGGAUGCAGAAUGAGUUGUGCUUUCACAUCCUCUGACUGUGCACACAACUCAUCAGAGUGACUUCGAGGAAGACAGAAUAAAGCAUCUGAAUCAUAUUUUACUAACAAGUAUUAACAUAAUUGUAUCAUUAGAAAGCUGAAACCUUGCUUUUUACAUUUGUGAAUAAAACUCAAAAUGUGAUUCUGGGUCAAAGUGACUCAAAAUUAUCGAGCAAGUCACAAAUAACAUGGAUAUCUCAUACAAAAAGUGCAAUUAAGUAAUUUUGUUAAUUAAAGAGAUUAUGCAAUCAACCAACUUCAUGUGUGUAGAUUACAGUAUAGUACUACUACUGAAGAUAAUUUUUGCACUAUAAAUUUUGCUGGGUUAUUUUUUAACCCAGAAUGAUGGGUUGAGUCUGCUGGGUCAUUUUGUUGGGUUAUUUUCACAUUGUUAGUAGUUUUUAAUCCAACUUUGCGAUGUUAAUGGCUGGGUCAUUGUCACUUACAGUAGAAUUCACCACAGCCAACCCAAGCUGCUGGGUCAAAAUAACCCACUGCAGGUUUAUCUGUGCCAAACUGGAUAAAACCAGUUUUUCAAUUGUCAUUUUUGCCUCCUGUCCUGAGGGGAAUCUUCCUCAAUAAAAUUAAGGUUUGUAUUCACUUGUAUUCCUAUCAGUCAUUACUGUAUAGACAGGAACAACUUUUAUUGUCUCACAUGAUCAUUUUUUUUUUUUUUUAAUGUACUUAUUUCUAUUAUAACAUCAACGUAAUACCAAGCUAGUUUAGCAGCUAAUUUAGUUCAUAUCUGCAAAGGUCGCUGGGUUUGCACAAAUGCUGAUGGAAACAAUGUCUACACCCAGAGAGAGCGACGCGACCAUGUCAAGCGAGUGCAGCUACAGCAGCCGUGACGCGACGUGAUGCAGCUCACAGAAGUCACACGCUUGCUGUUAACGGCUUCAGUGAUGAUGGAAGCGAUCGAGUUUGCUGCGCGUCACAGCUGUAGUCGCGUCAUCCAUUUGACAGGACGUGAAACUUCAAUGUCCAACAGAGACAUUAGGUACCAGUGCACUGAGGUUGCUCCUUUUGCUUUUCCACCUCCAAAAACGUAAUAUAACUGUUUUUCCUUAAAGGAAUAGUUCAUCUAAAAAUGUUAAUUCUCUCAUCAUUUACUCACCCUCAUGUCAACCCAGAUGUGUAUUACUUUCUUUCUUCUG
Myxocyprinus asiaticus (Chinese sucker) is the source of this 1526-nucleotide long non-coding RNA. RefSeq lists it as uncharacterized. The record is from RefSeq and is a predicted model, not a curated record. The transcript is spliced from 3 exons. NCBI's taxonomy places the organism in Eukaryota, Metazoa, Chordata, Actinopteri, Cypriniformes, Catostomidae.